AUGGGGAUCUGCCCGAUAGAGGGGGAUAACUACUGGAAACGGUGGCUAAUACCGCAUAAUCUCUUAGGAGCAAAGCAGGGGAACUUCGGUCCUUGCGCUAUCGGAUGAACCCAUAUGGGAUUAGCUAGUAGGUGGGGUAAUGGCUCACCUAGGCGACGAUCCCUAGCUGGUCUGAGAGGAUGAUCAGCCACACUGGGACUGAGACACGGCCCAGACUCCUACGGGAGGCAGCAGUGGGGAAUAUUGCACAAUGGGCGCAAGCCUGAUGCAGCCAUGCCGCGUGUAUGAAGAAGGCCCUAGGGUUGUAAAGUACUUUCAGUCGGGAGGAAGGCGUUGAUGCUAAUAUCAUCAACG
This 354-nucleotide ribosomal RNA is filed under the name uncultured bacterium. RNAcentral describes it as "bacterial SSU rRNA". It matches the Rfam family "Bacterial small subunit ribosomal RNA", at positions 117 to 474 of the family's 1533-position model. The record is from RNAcentral.